Molecule: ribosomal RNA, 671 nt
Filed under: Salmonella enterica
Lineage: Bacteria; Pseudomonadati; Pseudomonadota; Gammaproteobacteria; Enterobacterales; Enterobacteriaceae
Description: bacterial SSU rRNA
Rfam family: Bacterial small subunit ribosomal RNA
Source: RNAcentral
AAAUUGAAGAGUUUGAUCAUGGCUCAGAUUGAACGCUGGCGGCAGGCCUAACACAUGCAAGUCGAACGGUAACAGGAAGCAGCUUGCUGCUUUGCUGACGAGUGGCGGACGGGUGAGUAAUGUCUGGGAAACUGCCUGAUGGAGGGGGAUAACUACUGGAAACGGUGGCUAAUACCGCAUAACGUCGCAAGACCAAAGAGGGGGACCUUCGGGCCUCUUGCCAUCAGAUGUGCCCAGAUGGGAUUAGCUUGUUGGUGAGGUAACGGCUCACCAAGGCGACGAUCCCUAGCUGGUCUGAGAGGAUGACCAGCCACACUGGAACUGAGACACGGUCCAGACUCCUACGGGAGGCAGCAGUGGGGAAUAUUGCACAAUGGGCGCAAGCCUGAUGCAGCCAUGCCGCGUGUAUGAAGAAGGCCUUCGGGUUGUAAAGUACUUUCAGCGGGGAGGAAGGUGUUGCGGUUAAUAACCGCAGCAAUUGACGUUACCCGCAGAAGAAGCACCGGCUAACUCCGUGCCAGCAGCCGCGGUAAUACGGAGGGUGCAAGCGUUAAUCGGAAUUACUGGGCGUAAAGCGCACGCAGGCGGUCUGUCAAGUCGGAUGUGAAAUCCCCGGGCUCAACCUGGGAACUGCAUUCGAAACUGGCAGGCUUGAGUCUUGUAGAGGGGGG